GUGCUCACUUCGGCAGCACAUAUACUAAAAUUGAAUGAUACAGAGAAGAUUAGCAUGGCUCCUGCGUAAGGAUGACAUGCAAAUUCGUGAAGUAUUCCAUAUUCAA
RNAcentral lists this small nuclear RNA (106 nucleotides) under Propithecus coquereli (Coquerel's sifaka). The record is from RNAcentral. Lineage: Eukaryota; Metazoa; Chordata; Mammalia; Primates; Indriidae.